AGAAUAUUUGUAUUUAUGUUGAGUUUUGGUAUGAAUUAGAACAUUAUAUACCAAAGUUAAGCAAGUUGAAGGAUAAAACAAACUCAAUUCAUUUUGCCUAAAUAGAGAUAUCCUUCUCUUCUCCUUUUUACAAAUUUAUUCAACUUUCAGAUUUUAACGAUGAUUGUGAAAGACAAAUCUGAAAUUUCUUUUCAAUAAUAUCAAAAAAAUUUAUGUAGUAUUCCAAACAUUCAAUCAAAUUGUCCAAUCAUGGAGCAUUACAAAAUAUUGAGAACCCAUAAUUCAAAGCAUCAUGCCAUAUGCAAAAUAUAUUAUGUGUUAAGUCAUGCAUUAGAAUAUUAAGAGUAAGCAU
Molecule: long non-coding RNA, 352 nt
Filed under: Phoenix dactylifera (date palm)
Lineage: Eukaryota; Viridiplantae; Streptophyta; Magnoliopsida; Arecales; Arecaceae
Description: long non-coding RNA (PDAC_LNC013375)
Source: RNAcentral